CAGUCAUUAAUACGAAUUAUUUUUAUAUUUUCUUGUUCUUUGCUAUUGCAUAUCUGCAAAAAAUUGAUUCCCUAUUACAGAUUAUUGUGCUUUUUUUUUUUAAAUAAGAAAAAUAAUCACAAUUGCUUUAUCACAGACUGAAAACAUUCACCUGAGAAGUGUGUCCUGAAGGCCCUUAUCUUUUUCCUGAGAGAAAGUCCUGAAGACCUCAUCAAGGAGUACUUUCUGAGUUGAACGAUAACCCGACAAAUGAUUGAGGAGCAGCUUACCAUGGCGAUGUUCAUUAUUUGGAAGGAGGGGGAGAACUUCAUGAACCAUCUGCUGACAUUGAGGGAGUUAAAGUUUUGAAUCAACUUAAGUUACAUCAGCUUGUGCCCUGCUUCUAGGCCUACAGUUGGAAGCAGCUAUUCUCCUCUUGCCUGCACUGUUCAAGGUGGACCUGGGGUUGCUGUUUGACAUUGAGGGCCAUGCUCAGACCAGCCCUCCUGUCAUCCCAACACCUAAGAUAGUGCCUAAAGCCUGCGGGAGGAUCAUCUCAUGCAGUAUGACCACAUUUUGUUCACGUUGGAUGGCCAGUUAAUCACAGAGUAGAGUGAGGACAUCUUGAUGGCACUGGACCUCCUCCUAUGUGUAUAUUUUGCGUUUGGAAUCGAAUCCAAUCCAGUAUCCUAAAGGACUGAAAAAGACACUGACCUUUUUGAAAUGUGUUGUUUUGAAAUUGAAGGAUGCAGACGGACUUCCUGUCACUGUAAAUUGAGUGUACAACUCAAUCUGUGAGUAGAAUUUCGGAGUCAAUAUUCUGUCUUGCUCCCUUUCUUAUGGUUUUAGUUCCAGUUUCUAUAUUGUUUUUGAAAUCAUGAAGGACUUACAAAAAUGUUAGUUUCUAUAUUUUGGACAUUUAUUUAUGUUGCCUAGCAGGUUUUUUGUCUUAUUUUUGUUCUUGUACUAUAUUUUUUGUUUUGUACUAUUUGAUUGAUCUUGAGUAAAUAAAUAAUGUACAUUUCUACAUUUUGGACUUUUAUUUAUGUUGCCUAGCAGCUAUGGAUUUUAAUUUUACUAUUAUAGGUGAACAUAUAGGUGCAUAUAUAUGUGCAUAUAUGUACCUA
Long non-coding RNA from Megalobrama amblycephala (Wuchang bream), 1106 nucleotides. RefSeq lists it as uncharacterized. The record is from RefSeq and is a predicted model, not a curated record. The transcript has 4 exons. Lineage: Eukaryota; Metazoa; Chordata; Actinopteri; Cypriniformes; Xenocyprididae.